RNAcentral lists this ribosomal RNA (206 nucleotides) under uncultured bacterium. RNAcentral's name for it is "partial 16S ribosomal RNA". It matches the Rfam family "Bacterial small subunit ribosomal RNA", at positions 1286 to 1500 of the family's 1533-position model. The record is from RNAcentral.
UCUCAGUUCAGAUUGCAGGCUGNAACCCGCCUGCAUGAAGUCGGAAUUGCUAGUAAUCGCGGAUCAGCAUGCCGCGGUGAAUACGUUCCCGGGCCUUGUACACACCGCCCGUCACACCAUGGGAGCCGGGGGUGCCUGAAGUUCGUGACCGCAAGGAUCGACCUAGGGCAAAACCGGUGACUGGGGCUAAGUCGUAACAAGGUAAC